ACCUGAGUCAUCCCUGGAGUCUCACACUUGAUCUUAGCCAAAAGGCCGAGAAGCAAUCAUCCCUGGAGUCUCUCUGA
RNAcentral lists this non-coding RNA (77 nucleotides) under Pongo abelii (Sumatran orangutan). Lineage: Eukaryota; Metazoa; Chordata; Mammalia; Primates; Hominidae. The record is from RNAcentral.